GAUGAACGCUGGCGGCGUGCCUAAUACAUGCAAGUCGAGCGAACAGACGAGGCGCUUGCUCCUCUGACGUUAGCGGCGGACGGGUGAGUCACACGUGGAUAACCUACCUAUAAGACUGGGAUAACUUCGGGAAACCGGAGCUAAUACCGGAUAAUAUAUUGAACCGCAUGGUUCAAUAGUGAAAGACGGUUUUGCUGUCACUUAUAGAUGGCUCCGCGCCGCAUGAGCUAGUUGGUAAGGUAACGGCUUACCCAGGCAACGAUGCGUAGCCGACCUGAGAGGGUGGUCGGCCACACGGGAACUGAGACACGGUCCAGACUCCUACGGGAGGCAGCAGUAGGGAAUCUUCCGCAAUGGGGGAGAGCCUGACGGAGCAACGCCGCGUGAGUGAUGAAGGUCUUCGGAUCGUAAAACUCUGUUAUUAGGGAAGAACAAAUGUGUAAGUAACUAUGCACGUCUUGACGGUACCUAAUCAGAAAGCCACGGCUAACUACGUG
Molecule: ribosomal RNA, 497 nt
Filed under: uncultured bacterium
Lineage: Bacteria
Description: partial 16S ribosomal RNA
Rfam family: Bacterial small subunit ribosomal RNA
Source: RNAcentral